This 497-nucleotide ribosomal RNA is filed under the name uncultured bacterium. RNAcentral's name for it is "partial 16S ribosomal RNA". It matches the Rfam family "Bacterial small subunit ribosomal RNA", at positions 28 to 507 of the family's 1533-position model. The record is from RNAcentral.
GAUGAACGCUGGCGGCGUGCCUAAUACAUGCAAGUCGAGCGAACAGACGAGGAGCUUGCUCCUCUGACGUUAGCGGCGGACGGGUGAGUAACACGUGGAUAACCUACCUAUAAGACUGGGAUAACUUCGGGAAACCGGAGCUAAUACCGGAUAAUAUAUUGAACCGCAUGGUUCAAUAGUGAAAGACGGUUUUGCUGUCACUUAUAGAUGGAUCCGCGCCGCAUUAGCUAGUUGGUAAGGUAACGGCUUACCAAGGCGACGAUGCGUAGCCGACCUGAGAGGGUGAUCGGCCACACUGGAACUGAGACACGGCCCAGACUCUUACGGGAGGCAGCAGUCGGGAAUCUUCCGCAAUGGGGGAGAGCCUGACGGAGCAACGCCGCGUGAGUGAUGAAGGUCUUCGGAUCGUAAAACUCUGUUAUUAGGGAAGAACAAAUGUGUAAGUAACUAUGCACGUCUUGACGGUACCUAAUCAGAAAGCCCCGGCUAACUACGUG